Molecule: unclassified non-coding RNA, 331 nt
Filed under: soil metagenome
Description: partial contains 5.8S ribosomal RNA, internal transcribed spacer 2, and large subunit ribosomal RNA
Rfam family: 5.8S ribosomal RNA (bases 1-120)
Source: RNAcentral
GAUGAAGAACGUAGCGAAAUGCGAUAAGUAAUGUGAAUUGCAGAAUUCAGUGAAUCAUCGAAUCUUUGAACGCACAUUGCGCCCCCUGGUAUUCCGGGGGGCAUGCCUGUUCGAGCGUCAUUUCACCACUCAAGCCUCGCUUGGUAUUGGGCAUCGCGGUCCGCCGCGUGCCUCAAAUCGACCGGCUGGGUCUUCUGUCCCCUAAGCGUUGUGGAAACUAUUCGCUAAAGGGUGUUCGGGAGGCUACGCCGUAAAACAACCCCAUUUCUAAGGUUGACCUCGGAUCAGGUAGGGAUACCCGCUGAACUUAAGCAUAUCAAUAAGCGGAGGA